RNAcentral lists this unclassified non-coding RNA (192 nucleotides) under uncultured Basidiomycota. Its description in RNAcentral is "sequence contains ITS2". The record is from RNAcentral. Lineage: Eukaryota; Fungi; Basidiomycota.
AAAUCUCUCAAUUUGACCUCUUUUUGGUUUGAAUUGGACUUGAGCUUUGCGAAGGAGUAUUUCUUUGCAAGCUUCAAAUAGAUUUCGCUUUGAAUAUCUUUGAAAUAAGCUUAAUAGUAUUGAUCUCGGUCAAUUCUUUGGCUCUUUUCAUAAAAAGAUAACCUCAAAGAGACUUACGAAUCAUAAUCAUCU